AGUGGCAAACGGGUGAGUAACGCGUGGAUAAUCUGCCUCGAAUUCGGGAACAGCUCGUCGAAAGACGGGGUAAUACUCGAUAGUCCGAAAACAUCGCAAGGUGUUUUCGGUAAAACUCCGGUGAUUCGAGAAGAGUCCGCGUCCUAUCAGCUUGUUGGUGAGGUAAUAGCUCACCAAGGCGAAGACGGGUAGCUGGCGUGAGAGCGCGGUCAGCCACAAUGGGACUGAGAUACGGCCCAUACUCCUACGGGAGGCAGCAAUUAGGAAUCUUGCGCAAUGGGGGCAACCCUGACGCAGCGACACCGCGUGGAGGACGAAGGUCUAAGGAUCGUAAACUCCUUUUAUAUGGGAAUAAUAACUGAAGGUACCAUAUGAAUAAGUACCUGCUAACUACGUGCCAGAAGCAUCGGUGAUGCGUAGGGUACAAACAUUAUCCGGAUUUAUUGGGCGUAUAGAGAUGCGUAGGCGUCUUAGUAAGUCUUUUGUUAAAGACCUCAGCCUAACUGAGGAAGGGCAUCGGAAACUGCUAGGAUUGAGGUAGGGAGGGGUGAAUGGAAUUCUCGGUGGAGUGGUGAAAUACGUUGAUAUCGAGAAGAACACCAGUGGCGUAGGCGAUUCACUGGCCCUAUUCUGACGCUAAGGCUCGAAAGCGUGGGGAGCAAAACGGAUUAGAUACCCGUGUAGUCCACGCUGUAAACUA
This 700-nucleotide ribosomal RNA is filed under the name uncultured bacterium. Its description in RNAcentral is "bacterial SSU rRNA". It matches the Rfam family "Bacterial small subunit ribosomal RNA", at positions 94 to 809 of the family's 1533-position model. The record is from RNAcentral.